RNAcentral lists this long non-coding RNA (1389 nucleotides) under Trifolium pratense (red clover). Its description in RNAcentral is "long non-coding RNA (TPRA_LNC012063)". The record is from RNAcentral. Lineage: Eukaryota; Viridiplantae; Streptophyta; Magnoliopsida; Fabales; Fabaceae.
UUAGCUAUCCAGAUGACUUUAUAAGACCCUCCAACCAGAAACUAGAAAUACCACAGAAGACAUACAACAAAUGAUAGGUUUGUGUAUGAAUUAUGGAAUGGAAUGGAAUGGAAAUAGAGUUUGUAUUGAUGAGAAUAAGCAAAUACAAUAUGAAAACAGAAUGAAGAAAACAAAGUAACAAACUAGCAGAGAGAUUCUACUAGCCCCAAAGCACUAAGUGCCCCAAAUCACUAUGAAAGUGAUCCACACAAACUAACAAAAUACGUGAAUGAAUAUUCUCUUUCUACUAAGCACUAUAUAUAUAACCAAUUCCUUAUGCAGCACAUGCACUCCUCAUGCAUUCUUUGCCACCUCAUCGUUCCUUUCCCUCUCCUACUAUAACAAAAAUUAUUUUUUAAGUUCAUUGAAUAACUGAUGCAUAGGUCAGACACAUCAGUUACUCAAGGAAUCUAAAAAGUAAUUUUUUUCUUAUAAUAGGGACAUGAGGGAGUAGAUUAUAAAACCUAGUUAGAACAACAAUCACAUCUGAACAUCAAUAACCAACAAAGUAACAAACCACAGCAAUCCAAAUCCAUUCAUCUCUCAAUAUAAACCUAUCUACACCGACAAAUUCUUAUUGUGCAGAACCUUGCCCAGUCUAUACAAACAUUUCACCUAAAUUAUAGAAUUCCCUUGAAAUAUACCUUUCAAUGUUAUACCUAUAACUGAAGCAAUUCCACCUAAACACCAUGAUCCAAACAAAAAUUAGGGUAAAUAAAAAUUGGGGAUGGAGGAUGGUAAAUUAAUUCUAGGGUAAUAAGCAUUUCCCAUUAUUUCCCACAACGAAUCUCAAAAUCAACAAUGACCCAUAAAUCAAAAAUUAAAAAUUUACACAAACAAAUAAUAAAAAUCAAGCCUUGGUCAAAUCCCACCAUAAAAAAAAUCUAAAACAAAAAAUCCCAAAAUCAAAAAAUAUAACAAAUCAAGCCUUGCGAUUCAACGUGAAGCUGGAAUUAUGAAAUUCGAUUUCCACGCGAAAUGAAAAGAAGAAGAAAGAUAGAAAUUUACCUGAGAUCUGAUUUCCCCAAUUUAAUCAGGUGAAGAAAAAAUUGGUGGCAAAAUCGUGUAAUUGCGCGUAAAUUAUUUGCCCCUUUCCAAAACGGCGGCGUUGAAUAAUGAAAGAGAGAGAGAGAGAGAGAGAGAGAGAGAGAGAGAGAGAGAGAGAGAGAGAGAGAGAGUAGAGAUAGAGUGAGUCUAUAACUGCGUUUUCAUUUUUCGUUUUGUAGAAAAAAUAGAAUCGAUUAUAGAGAGAAUCGAUUUUAGAUCGUCGCUGUUAUACACCGCCAAACAACCCUCUUUCGCAAUCAAAGUGUAACCUGACUUUUUAUCUAGUUGACUAUUUUAACCCUU